Long non-coding RNA from Antechinus flavipes (yellow-footed antechinus), 3757 nucleotides. RefSeq lists it as uncharacterized. The transcript has 2 exons. The record is from RefSeq and is a predicted model, not a curated record. NCBI's taxonomy places the organism in Eukaryota, Metazoa, Chordata, Mammalia, Dasyuromorphia, Dasyuridae.
ACACACACACUUCCCGGUCUCUCAGCCGGAGCUAUCCCUCUCCCUAGCCCUCAGAUCCAAUCUGUCGUCUAGCCUCCCAUCUCCCUUCACAACUUCUCUAAUAGAAAUCCCCUUCUCUGCUCCCUUCGUCCCUUCUCUGGGCUUUUGUAAUCGGUCUCCGCUUCUCAGCUCAUUGCUCUCCCUCCUUCACAACCCUGCCAAAGUCAUUUUCCAAUAGCAGAGCACUAGCCCUGUCAUCCCCUUACUCUGGAAACCUGUGGGGCUCCCAUUGCAUUCAAGAGCAGACAGAAGCUUCUCUGUUGGAAGCUCUUUACAACUGGCCCUUUCAGCUUUUUUAGUCUUCGUUUGCUUGAUUCCUUUCAAUACCCUCUUAAUAUUUAGUCAUGUUAGUCUGCUUGCUCCUCCAUGCUUUUGUAUUGGCUUUCCCCCAUGUCUAGAAAGGUCUCCCUCCUCACUUUCCCCCGUCCACCAAAUGACUUGAUGGUCAUCUUCCUCUGUAGUUAUCUUCCAUCCACUCAUAUGUCUUACAUGCACCUAAUUAUUCACAUUCUGUCUUCCUGCUAGAAUAUAAGCUUCAUGAGGGUAGGAGCUGCUUUUCCCUUUCUUUGUAUUUCCAGAUUUUUAGCACAUAGUAAUGUGAAAAAUACUGAAAAGUUGGGUUUCUACAGAGUGUUGCAAGCUUGGAGAUAGUGUAGAAUAGUCAGUACCACUAACCAAGAGGUUUUCAGGACCUGAGAGGUUAAGAAAGGCUAAGAUUCUACAGAACAAUUAAGUAAAUAAUGGAAGCCUUAAGUAAACAAGAAAUUGGGGAGCUAGGAAAAGUGGACUCAGCCCAUCAGAAAGUCUUGUGAUUUUGAGAAAAUCACAAUUUAAGAUUAAUAGCCAAUCCAGCCCAAUCUACUUGGACUGACUUGACCAAAUCACUAUUGCACCUGCUUAAUAGGCUAACUGAAUGUUAAACAACACACCCCAUAAGAGGAGUUUUUUGCCAUUUUUUGAAUAGGGGAUGUAUGAUGAGGAAGGGGAAACAUAUUUAUACAUAUUUAGGGGGAAACAUGUAGUGAGUGUAUCAGAAAGUUUGUAACCCAGAAGAGGACUGACUAAUCUGUCUCUGAAGGGAGGAACUGUACCAAACUAAUAAGUAGAAACUUUCUCUACCUUUCUGUGCUCUUCCUGAAGAAGACGGGAGCCUACUUCUAGGCAGACAUUAAUAUGAUUCUUGAAGAUUCUUCUUUAAUAGAUUUUCCUUGAUAUCUGCUUUUCAGCAUCAAGAGUUGUUUUUUUUUUUUUUUUUUUUAAUAAUUUUGUUCGCCAACAUAUGAUUUGACUUGUGGACCUCAGACCCUUUAGGAAGAGCACUCCCAUUGAGUUCAACAGUCUGGAGGUUGAACCCCUGGUCCUUUCAAAUUCAGGACUUCCUGUUUGGAAUUGCCUUGAGAUAGCCAGAAGAAACUUAACGAUCAGAACAUGGAAGAGCUUUGAGUGCCAAGCUUGGAUCCAAUUCCAGCCUCUCUCACUUCACAGCUGGAUGACCAGACACAUCCCUCCCCUUUUUAAGGGUUUCAGUUUCCUCAUCUGUAUAAUGGAGAGAAGGUUAUACUUGGUAUAGUAUUGUAGUGCUCAUCCCACAGAAUCAUUAUCAAGUUUAAAAGAGACAAUCUCUUUACAUGGCUCAUGAGCCAAAAAAGCCAAAGAUUUGGGAGCCUUACACAAAGUCCAAUUGUGACUAAUGAUAGACUGAUGGGCUGAAUUGUUGAAAUCACCUAAAUGGGGGAAUCUUUAUCAUUUAAAUGUUGAACUCCACUCACAGAACGAGAUGAUGUUCUUGGUCACAUAGUAAUUCCCUGCACCAGUUCAUACCACAUCUCCCCUGUACAAUGAACUCCUUUGGCUCCUAAAAAGGCUCGAGGUGCUAGAGAGCCACAUAAAGCACUUGGAUGGCACCAUGUAACUAGGUUUGGGCAGAAGGGAAUUCAAAUGCUGCCUUAGAAAGAUAUUGGUGCUGUAAUAGAGGCAAGUCUCUAUUUCUUCUGUUUCUUCGUCUGCAAAAUGGGAUUAAUAAUAGCAUCUGCCUUCAAAGUUUGUGAUGAAGAUUAAUUGGAAUGAUGUUUAUAAAGCACGACAUAAAUGCAAGCUGUUAUUACAAACUUUUCCUUUAGAUGUUUAAAACCUUUCACAGCCUUUCAGGCUUAUUGUACAUGACCUCUUUCAUGAACUCUCUGGUACUUUCUUGCUAAACAUCAUACAUGACAUUUCACCUCCUGUUUCCCUACUUUUAAAGAAAGUUGUCCCCCAUUCCUGGAGUGUGCUUGCUCUUCACUUUUACCUCUUAGCAACUCUCCUGAGCUUCAAAGUUCAGCAGGAAAGCCAUCUCCUUAUGAGACCCUUCUAGAUCCCUCAGCUCUGGUAGCAUAUAUCAAAUUACCUUGUAUUUAUUUUGUAUAUAUAUAUGUGUGUGUGUACAUAGUCUACCCCUAUAAAAUGUCAGCUCCUUGAGGGGAGGACUCACUUAUUUUUCUUUUUUUAUCCUUAGCACCUAGCAUCGUACCUGACAUAUAUUUAAUAAAUAUUUGUUGAUUUGAUUGACCCACUGUUAUUUCAUCUUUGAAAUAAAGUAAGAUCUUUCAAGACAAUUGUGAAAAUCGAGUAAGGCUUCAUCUAUUUCAAAGUUUGAGUAGGCCUGAAGGACUUUAAGCAUUAAGUCAAGGGCAUACUUAAAGUGUCUCCUCCCUGCUAUCCUCUUAAGGGCAUACUUAAAGUCUCCUCCCUUCUAUCUUAAAGACAUUAAAGUCUCCAGGCUAUCCCCUCCCUGUUAUCCCCUAAGAGCAUACUUAAAUCCCUUUCUUGUUAUCCUCCCUAUUUCAGCCAAAUAUGGGCAACUAUGUACUUAAUGGUCAAGUUCAAUUUCUUGGGUAGUUCCCGAAUUUAGAAUGUAAGAUCCUCAGCCAGUAAGGAUGAGGGUCAGUGGUGGGAGGGGGAAUUUGCUUUAGGGAUUAAAAGCAUUGACCCUGCCCUCCCUUCGAUUGUCUGCUGGAUCAGUAGGAUACCCAAUUCUUGCGAGAACAUAUAAUAAACUUUGCUUUGCUUCUAGAGAUCUCUUCAGUCUCUUUUUAUUAAAUGAUUUCUGACUGACACAUUUUUAUAUGGACGUGUUUUCUCCCUCGAUAGGACACCUUCCUUGAAGGCAGAACUUGUUUCAUUUUUGUCUUUGUAUUUCCGGUGCAUGGCACUAGGAACGUAGAGGGCACUUAAUAAAUGCCGGUUAAGUGAUUAUGUUAUGCCACAGUUCUCUUUAACUGUCCUGACUCAGUUUCCCUGUCCCAGUUUCAUUUACUGUUCUGUCUCUUCUGCUCUCGGGUUAUAAAUUAGCAAGAUAAAAGAGUAGAUCUCCUGAUUCUUUUAUGGAUUUACAAUAUUCCUUUAGAAUAUUCCAAGAUUAACCCAUGAUAUCUUUACUUCUUUGUCUCUGGAAUUUUUAGGUUUUAUGGCUUCCUCUCCCUGAUAAAAACUUUCCCUCCCUUUCUCUUCUUUGUCUCCAAAAAGGUAUUUGAGAAGUUGGGGUUCUUCCAUUCAUGGCUGGAGUAUGGCAGCUGGCAGUUGUAUGCUGGACGCUGGAUUCUUUGGGUCCUCCAGCCCUGGGACCAAUAUGGAUUCCUUGGUCCCAGUAUACUUAUCUCUGUCUGACUGGAUAAUCUGAGACGAGAGUCCUGUCCAGUCAAUCUUACUCUCCCAUUAAUAAAAUAUUAAAACUCUCUAA